This 439-nucleotide ribosomal RNA is filed under the name uncultured bacterium. RNAcentral describes it as "partial 16S ribosomal RNA". It matches the Rfam family "Bacterial small subunit ribosomal RNA", at positions 339 to 795 of the family's 1533-position model. The record is from RNAcentral.
CUACGGGAUGCAGCAGUGAGGAAUAUUGCACAAUGGAGGAAACUCUGAUGCAGCAACGCCGCGUGGAGGAUGACGCAUUUCGGUGUGUAAACUCCUUUUAUGAGUCAAGAAAACGACGGUAGCUCAUGAAUAAGCACCGGCUAACUCCGUGCCAGCAGCCGCGGUAAUACGGAGGGUGCAAGCGUUACUCGGAAUCACUGGGCGUAAAGGACGCGUAGGCGGGAUAUCAAGUCAGGUGUGAAAUCCUACAGCUUAACUGUAGAACUGCACUUGAAACUGGUAACCUAGAGUAUGGGAGGGGGAGAUGGAAUUAGUGGUGUAGGGGUAAAAUCCGUAGAUAUCACUAGGAAUACCUAAAGCGAAGGCGAUCUCCUGGAACAUUACUGACGCUAAGGCGUGAAAGCGUGGGGAGCAAACAGGAUUAGAUACCCGAGUAGUC